Molecule: ribosomal RNA, 253 nt
Filed under: uncultured bacterium
Lineage: Bacteria
Description: partial 16S ribosomal RNA
Rfam family: Bacterial small subunit ribosomal RNA
Source: RNAcentral
UACGUAGGUGGCAAGCGUUGUCCGGAUUUACUGGGCGUAAAGAGCGCGCAGGCGGUCGUGCAAGUCGCGUGUGAAAGCCCCCGGCUCAACUGGGGAGGGUCACGCGAUACUGCUCGACUCGAAGGCAGGAGAGGGAAGUGGAAUUCCCGGUGUAGUGGUGAAAUGCGUAGAUAUCGGGAGGAACACCAGUGGCGAAGGCGACUUCCUGGCCUGUUCUUGACGCUGAGGCGCGAAAGCUAGGGGAGCAAACGGG